Molecule: long non-coding RNA, 1722 nt
Organism: Neodiprion virginianus
Lineage: Eukaryota; Metazoa; Arthropoda; Insecta; Hymenoptera; Diprionidae
Exons: 3
Source: RefSeq, a predicted model, not a curated record
CGCUGACUGUAGGAUUGAAAACUGUUCCUGGACCACAAUCCAUGAUAAACGUGACCCCAUUGGCGCAUUGCAAAAAUUUGGUGCAAUCAAUUGGAUGUGGCAAUAAACCAGUAAAUGAAGUUGCUGAUGGUACUCUCCAUUCUCUUUCUGGUUCGGAAAUUUGUAAUGGCUGUUUCUUUGCCGAUGGUCGUAUGUUAUAUUGAUUAUGUAAAUCAAUUAAUUCACUGCCAUAACACUGGACUUUUGUUGGAAAAUCACAUUCAAGAGUUUCAGGAUUGAAGAGCGUCCCAGGUGCACAGGGUUGAACGAAAGCACGGCCAUUCCAGCAGUUGACAAAAAAUUUACAAUCAGGUUUCUUGGGACGCAACCCUGAGUCUUUGACUCCUUCAGGGACUUGAGGUUCAAUCGGAAUUGGAGUCGUGCUACUUGGUGAAUACCACAGGAUGGGAAACUCGCGUCUUAUGGCAGGUUUAACAGCAUGAGUUUCUCUUGGAUCGAAAAUCUAUAUGCAAUUUUCGAUUAUGAAUAUUAAUACAUAGGUUCUCUGACUCAAGCUAUUAUUGCUAACAUAUUACACUAUAUGAAUUCGAAAUACACAACCAAAGUGUUCGAAAUCUUACCGCAAGCGAUGUAUUACAAAAAUAUAUAAUAGUCAGCACAGCAAGCAAAAAAAUGUUUUCAGAUGGUUUCAUGGUCGGUAAAUUGAUGAGUCACUGUGGAUUCUGAAGAGUUUUAUCGAAUUAAUAUAUUAUAUUAAUUUUUCAUCAUGUAACGUCACCACGCAACACUCACUCGCAGACCAUGUACUUGUGCCAAACACUUUAUUUUAUAAAUUCCUAUACUACCGAUGACUUCCUUGUGAGUAAUGCGUUCAAUUUAGUUUGCAGCGCAAAGUUCUACACUGGGUUAUCUUAGGGCAGAGCAAAGGUCACCCCUACACUGCCUAAUGGCAUUCCAUGGCAUGUGAAAUCAGUUGUACGCUUCCAUGUGUGCACAGCUGGCCAAUUGGUUCACUGUAGUGAUCCCUAAAUGUCAGCUGUGUGAGUUACAAUUUAGAGGUCUAGAUAGAAUGAUUGACGUAUUUGUACCCACCAUUUCUUAUGAAUCGAUAGUACGAAGAUAACAUUAAAGCAGUAAACAUAACAAAAUGUUUUUCUAACAGUUUCUCCUUUCUGAGAAAAUGAAUCUUAUCUAAUUGUUUUCCUAUCUUAUUGGUAGGAAAGCACGAUACUCAAAUGAACAUUACGCAUAUGUUAAGAUAUGUACAAAAUUGGUAUCCAUCUCUCUUGCCAGAUAUGGCAAAUUGCGAAUAACCCUGUACAUUUUUUAAUUAUUUGAAGUAUAAAUUUACGCUGAGAAUUGCUGUUUUAUCUUUAUGUCUUCGAUUGCAUCUGUAAGUUGAUAAACAUACUUCUACAUUGUUAUAACUGUACUGUAGAAAAAGAUGACAGGAAAAAUUCAUAUCUGUACGUGGGCUCAAAUAAUUUGCUAUUACUUUACUUUAUUCAUAUACAUAUGUCAAGUAUGCUACAUCAGUUCAGUUUAUGUACAUUGAGUUUUAUAAUAAAUACACAUAAAAACAUGUAUAAUGAAACAUUUUACAUCAAAUCAACCAUGCUCACACUUGAAUUUUAUAUGGAAACGACGCUUCCCUUUAUUACUGUAGUCUAUGAAGUAUGUCAAAAACCCAUUUAAGAUAAAUUAGAUCAAUGAAAUGUAUUU